CAGAUCAUCAUGCGGAAUCGCCUUCAUUAGGUCUAACGUCUGAAGUCCGGUUGUCUCUGCCAGAGUUUUUGGAACCAAUUCACUACCUUCAAUGAUCUUCCACAUAGGAAUGAUCCUCUUCCUCUUCCGUAAUUGGACCCCUUGUUCCACAGCUUUACCUUUAUCAUUCAACCAAAUGUUCAACUGAGAUAGCACAGCUGUAGGUUGAUCCAAAUCAAUGUCCCCGACAGUAAACUUAAC
This 240-nucleotide long non-coding RNA is filed under the name Prunus persica (peach). RNAcentral's name for it is "long non-coding RNA (PPER_LNC006451)". The record is from RNAcentral. Lineage: Eukaryota; Viridiplantae; Streptophyta; Magnoliopsida; Rosales; Rosaceae.